UCCCUGGUGGCUGAGGGUGAAGCGUCUGCCUGCAAUGCAGGAGACCCAGGUUCAAUCCCUGGGUCGGGAA
RNAcentral lists this transfer RNA (70 nucleotides) under Ovis aries (sheep). It matches the Rfam family "tRNA". Rfam says of the family: Transfer RNA (tRNA) molecules are approximately 80 nucleotides in length. Their secondary structure includes four short double-helical elements and three loops (D, anti-codon, and T loops). Lineage: Eukaryota; Metazoa; Chordata; Mammalia; Artiodactyla; Bovidae. The record is from Rfam by way of RNAcentral.